RNAcentral lists this ribosomal RNA (497 nucleotides) under uncultured bacterium. RNAcentral describes it as "partial 16S ribosomal RNA". It matches the Rfam family "Bacterial small subunit ribosomal RNA", at positions 28 to 507 of the family's 1533-position model. The record is from RNAcentral.
GAUGAACGCUGGCGGCGUGCCUAAUACAUGCAAGUCGAGCGAACAGACGAGGAGCUUGCUCCUCUGACGUUAGCGGCGGACGGGUGAGUAACACGUGGAUAACCUACCUAUAAGACUGGGAUAACUUCGGGAAACCGGAGCUAAUACCGGAUAAUAUAUUGAACCGCAUUGUUCAAUAGUUAAAGACGGUUUUGCUGUCACUUAUAGCUGGAUCCGCGCCGCAUUAGCUAGUUGGUAGGGUAACGGCUUACCAAGGCAACGAUGCGUAGCCGACCUGAGAGGGUGAUCGGCUACACUGGAAGUGAGGAAGGGCCCAGACUCCUACGGGAGGCAGCAGUAGGGAAUCUUCCGCAAAGGACGAGAGCCUGACAGAGCAACGCGGCGUGAGUGAUGAAGGUGUUCGGAUCGGAAAACUCUGUUAUUAGGGAAGAACAAAUGUGUAAGUAACUAUGCACGUAUUGACGGUACCUAGUCAGAAAGCCACGGCUAACUACGUG